RNAcentral lists this transfer RNA (67 nucleotides) under Candidatus Avimonas faecium. It matches the Rfam family "tRNA", at positions 5 to 66 of the family's 71-position model. Rfam says of the family: Transfer RNA (tRNA) molecules are approximately 80 nucleotides in length. Their secondary structure includes four short double-helical elements and three loops (D, anti-codon, and T loops). RNAcentral also lists the same sequence under 2 other names. Lineage: Bacteria; Bacillati; Bacillota; Clostridia. The record is from RNAcentral.
GGUGUAGCUCAGUUUGGUAGAGCGCUUGGUUCGGGACCAAGAGGCCGUGGGUUCAAGUCCCGCCACU